Molecule: ribosomal RNA, 253 nt
Filed under: uncultured bacterium
Lineage: Bacteria
Description: partial 16S ribosomal RNA
Rfam family: Bacterial small subunit ribosomal RNA
Source: RNAcentral
UACGUAGGGGGCUAGCGUUGUCCGGAAUCAUUGGGCGUAAAGAGCGUGUAGGCGGCCAGGUAGGUCUGCUGUGAAAACUCGAGGCUCAACCUCGAGACGCCGGCGGAAACCAUCUGGCUAGAGUCCGGAAGAGGAGAGUGGAAUUCCUGGUGUAGCGGUGAAAUGCGCAGAUAUCAGGAAGAACACCCGUGGCGAAGGCGGCUCUCUGGGACGGUACUGACGCUGAGACGCGAAAGCGUGGGGAGCGAACAGG